UGGCGGCGUGCCUAAUACAUGCAAGUCGAAUGGUAGCAAUACCAUGGCGAACGGGUGAGUAACACGUAGGUAACCUGUCUUUAAGCCGAGGAUAACCAUUGGAAACGAUGGAUAAUACUGGAUAGGAUAUUUUAAGGCAUCUUUUAAUAUUUAAAGAUUUAUCACUUAGAGAGGGGCCUGCGGCGCAUUAGCUAGUUGGUGAGGUGAAGGCUUACCAAGGCGAUGAUGCGUAGCCGGACUGAGAGGUUGAACGGCCACAAUGGAACUGAGAACGGUCCAUACUCCUACGGGAGGCAGCAGUAGGGAAUUUUCGGCAAUGGGCGGAAGCCUGACCGAGCAACGCCGCGUGAACGAAGAAGUAUUUCGGUAUGUAAAGUUCUUUUAUUAGGGACGAAAAGACAGAUUGACGGUACCUAAUGAAUAAGCUCCGGCUAACUACGUGCCAGCCGCGGC
RNAcentral lists this ribosomal RNA (453 nucleotides) under uncultured bacterium. Its description in RNAcentral is "bacterial SSU rRNA". It matches the Rfam family "Bacterial small subunit ribosomal RNA", at positions 37 to 518 of the family's 1533-position model. The record is from RNAcentral.